This 279-nucleotide unclassified non-coding RNA is filed under the name plant metagenome. Its description in RNAcentral is "partial contains small subunit ribosomal RNA, internal transcribed spacer 1, and 5.8S ribosomal RNA". The record is from RNAcentral.
UUUCCGUAGGUGAACCUGCGGAAGGAUCAUUACUGAGCGCAGGUUCCUCGUUGACCGAUCCUCCCACCCUUGUAUCUUGAAAAGUCUGUUGCUUUGGCGGCCCCACUGGGAAUUUAUAGUCGCCGAGGGGUCUUGCGCCACUGGGGUCGUGGCUGCCCGAGCGACUUUGAACCCUAAUGAAGUUGUAUUGUCUGAGCAUGAAUGAAAAAUAACAAAAGUUUCAAUAAUGGCUGUCUUGGUUAUGGCAUCGAUGAAGAAAGAAGCCACUCGGCAGAGCAC